Molecule: non-coding RNA, 73 nt
Organism: Salmo salar (Atlantic salmon)
Lineage: Eukaryota; Metazoa; Chordata; Actinopteri; Salmoniformes; Salmonidae
Source: Rfam
UCCUGUGUGGCUCAGUGGGUAAAGCACGGCACUUGCAAUGCCAGGGUUGUGGGUUUGAUUCCCAUGGUGGGCA